RNAcentral lists this non-coding RNA (31 nucleotides) under Mus musculus (house mouse). The record is from RNAcentral. Lineage: Eukaryota; Metazoa; Chordata; Mammalia; Rodentia; Muridae.
UUAAAUUUUUAUAUUUCUUUGACUUCCCCUA